Molecule: ribosomal RNA, 530 nt
Filed under: uncultured bacterium
Lineage: Bacteria
Description: partial 16S ribosomal RNA
Rfam family: Bacterial small subunit ribosomal RNA
Source: RNAcentral
GUGGGGAAUGUUGCACAAUGGGCGAAAGCCUGAUGCAGCAACGCCGCGUGAGUGAUGAAGGUCUUCGGAUUGUAAAGCUCUGUCUUUUGGGACGAUAAUGACGGUACCAAAGGAGGAAGCCACGGCUAACUACGUGCCAGCAGCCGCGGUAAUACGUAGGUGGCGGGCGUUGUCCGGAUUUACUGGGCGUAAAGGGUGCGUAGGCGGAUGUUUAAGUGAGAUGUGAAAUACCCGGGCUUAACUUGGGUGCUGCAUUUCAAACUGGAUAUCUAGAGUGCAGGAGAGGAGAAUGGAAUUCCUAGUGUAGCGGUGAAAUGCGUAGAGAUUAGGAAGAACACCAGUGGCGAAGGCGAUUCUCUGGACUGUAACUGACGCUGAGGCACGAAAGCGUGGGUAGCAAACAGGAUUAGAUACCCUGGUAGUCCACGCCGUAAACGAUGAGUACUAGGUGUAGGAGGUAUCGACCCCUUCUGUGCCGCAGUAAACACAUUAAGUACUCCGCCUGGGAAGUACGAUCGCAAGAUUAAAAC